ACAAAGGUUCUAGUCCAUCAAUCCUAAAAACCCGUCAUUCAAGAAGCUCAUGCAGUUCCUGUCGUGAUGAUGUUCCCAAGGGAUGUCUGUUAAAAAACACAUAGAUGAGUAAAUAUCAUCAAGCUCUCUUCCUUUCUCAAUACAUGAAAAGCAGAGUCACUCAUGGUUUGCACAGAGCUGCAAUGCAUACUUAGCUUAAGCAUUCUUUAAACUAAUCCUAGAUCUUACCCAAUCGUCCGAGCAGCAGUAAGGGAAUCACAGGCAGCUCAAUCCUCAUGUGUCACAUAUGCUAUUUCUGUGAGUGGAUAAAAGUGAGAUCACAAUAGAUAGAUCGUAAAGUAUCGUGGGCAAAUUCACCCGCUUGGAGAGCCUUUGAUUUUCAACUGAAUACCAGUACUCGUAUCAUUCUACGUGAUCAAGGAAUUGUACUUGUGAAAAAUCCAGAAUUUCACUCAGAAUUUGUUUCGCUUCUUGAUUGGGAUAAUCAGAUCUCGUGUAGAAGGC
RNAcentral lists this small RNA (504 nucleotides) under Histoplasma ohiense. RNAcentral describes it as "hypothetical lncRNA". Lineage: Eukaryota; Fungi; Ascomycota; Eurotiomycetes; Onygenales; Ajellomycetaceae. The record is from RNAcentral.